Molecule: long non-coding RNA, 1842 nt
Filed under: Anthonomus grandis grandis
Lineage: Eukaryota; Metazoa; Arthropoda; Insecta; Coleoptera; Curculionidae
Description: uncharacterized LOC126745171
Source: RNAcentral
UGAGUUUUCGUGAUUUAAUUAUUGAAAUAAUGGAAGAAACAGAUAUGAAUAGUGAAGUGGACGAUAAACAAGCAAAGAUAAGUAAGUAACGGAAAAUAUUUGGGAGAAUGAGUGACGUUAAAAAAAAUUGCUGGCUUCAACCCACGAAAUUGGACCUGAUUGUAAGUGUGUACGAUUACAAUGUUUCCAAAUUGUAAGAGAAAGAGCUAGGAUUGAUAUAAUAACAAAAUUUAAUAAAAUGACGGUAAAUGAACAGAACAGUUAUUUAAGUGGGCUUAUACAAGUGACUACAGUUUUUCAACUUAGGCCUAGACAAGCUGAAAAAAAUGCUUUGUUACAUGACUGUUCAUAUUCAUAUCAUGUGCGAGUAAAUACUGAAGGAGGUAUCAUUGAGGUUCCGGUAUGUUAUAAGGCGUUCCGUUCUUUACAUGAAAUUUCAAAGAAAAAAAUUGAAGUUAUUUAACUAUACAUUAAAAGAGGUGUCCAGCCUAAAGACGGUCGUGGUCAACAUCAAAACCGGAGAAAUCGUAUAACUAAAGACACCUUUGACGCAGUUUGCACUCACAUUGAGCCUUUUAAUGGUCGCAUGAGUCAUUACAGCCUUAAAGACUCCUCCCUAUUUGCCACCUGAGUUGAAUGUCACAAAAAUGUGCAAUAUAUACAAAAUAAAGUACCCGGAUAAUAAAGUGUCGUAGGGAAAAUUACCGCAAAAUUUUUACUGAAAACUUUAAUAUAAGUUAAAUAAAGGUCUGAUAAAGGCCAUUUUAUGCUCGAAAACGCCAGUCACGGUUAGACAGUCAGAAGUCAAUUAGUCGAGAAUCUAUUGCAAUGGACUUCCAAAAGAACUUACCUGCGCCGAAUAUUACCAAAAACGACGUAUAUUACAAAAGGCAAUUGACGUUUUGUAUGUUUAAAAUCCAUGUCCUUUUCAAUGGCGAGUCGUACUUUUAUGACUAUGAUGAAACGGUUGCUUGCAAAUGAGCAAAUUAAGUUUCUUCUUUUCUUUUUUAUUUUGUAAUGGUGCAACUGGAUCCCGCCGUUAAAGAACUGGAUAUUUUUUGCGACUCCUGCUGCGGCCAGAAUAAAAAUUGGACAAUUUCGUAAUAUGGUUAACAUUAACCAAAAUAAAUGGGUUGAGUUACCUAAAGAAUGGGUUGAAAAAUUUGAAGGUGCUCGCUCAAAGCUAUCGCCUUUUCGUGUAACUGAAGUUGAAAGUAAUUUAGUUCGUGGAUGGACUCAGUUCUUAGAUCAACACUACUUGAAGAAAUGUCCAUUUCAGUCUAGGCAUAUAAAGGAGUUAAUUGCUGAAAAGGAGCAUCCACGCAUGUUGAAACACAGACUUACGUACAAUGGGCAUUGGGAUGUUUCUGUGAUUAAUAAACCAGGUUCAGUUCUACGCUAAAUAAUCCUGAAGUACAAUCAGGACAAUUUAUUCUUCCUGACGUUGCAUACCAAGAACCGUUGCCAAUAACGUUCGAAAAGUAUAAGGACCUUCAAGAUCUUAAAAAAUUCUGUGAGGAGGAAGCUCAAAAGUUUUACUCCCAUCUUCGAUGCAAGGCUCCAAAACCAAAAUCUAGGAGGAAGCAAAAGGCUGCUCCGAAACCAGAAUCUACAAAGCAGCGGCCUAAACAAAGCAAACCCACGGUUGCAAAAGGGGCAUCAAUACGAAAAUCUAGCAAAUAGGCCAUCCAUUUUCUUUUCCAAACGGACAUCGGACGGUGGCAGUUUGUUGUUUUUUAAAUUUUUUCAUAUUUUUCAUUUUUUCUAUAAUAACUUAUAUUUUCGUUAGUUUCGUUGUAUUUUUUUAAAUAUGAAAAAUAAAUACCAACUUGUUGAGUUAUA